UAACCAUGCUGAGGACAUCUUCUAAGUAACUCUUUGAAUCUCUCCCAAGCCUCAUAAAAUAGUUCAAACUAAAAGUAAGUUUGUUUGAAUUACCCAAUAUCACUCCUCAAUUG
RNAcentral lists this small nucleolar RNA (113 nucleotides) under Olea europaea subsp. europaea. Lineage: Eukaryota; Viridiplantae; Streptophyta; Magnoliopsida; Lamiales; Oleaceae. The record is from RNAcentral.